This 176-nucleotide non-coding RNA is filed under the name Pseudomonas knackmussii. The record is from RNAcentral. Lineage: Bacteria; Pseudomonadati; Pseudomonadota; Gammaproteobacteria; Pseudomonadales; Pseudomonadaceae. RNAcentral also lists the same sequence under 1 other name.
CAUAAUACGCGCUUCGUCGGUGCCCAUCAGGGCCGAAGAGGGAACACGGGACCAACCGUGGCUGCCCCCGCAACUGUAAGCAGCGAGUCCGCGCGAAUUGGCCACUGGGCAACCGGGAAGGCCGCGCUGGAUGAGGACCUGCCAGCCAGGAGACCUGCCGACGAGACCAGUCGCAC